This 397-nucleotide ribosomal RNA is filed under the name uncultured bacterium. Its description in RNAcentral is "bacterial SSU rRNA". It matches the Rfam family "Bacterial small subunit ribosomal RNA", at positions 975 to 1375 of the family's 1533-position model. The record is from RNAcentral.
CAAGGCUUGACAUAUAGAGGAAAAGUGUAGAAAUACACUCCCCGCAAGGUCUCUAUACAGGUGGUGCAUGGUUGUCGUCAGCUCGUGUCGUGAGAUGUUGGGUUAAGUCCCGCAACGAGCGCAACCCUCGUCCUAUGUUGCCAGCACGUUAAGGUGGGAACUCAUGGGAUACUGCCGGGGUCAACUCGGAGGAAGGUGGGGAUGACGUCAAAUCAUCAUGCCCCUUAUGUCUUGGGCUUCACGCAUGCUACAAUGGCAGUGACAAUGAGAUGCUAAACAGCGAUGUUAAGCUAAACUCAAAAAACUGCCUCAGUUCGGAUUGCACUCUGCAACUCGAGUGCAUGAAGCUGGAAUCGCUAGUAAUCGCUCAUCAGCGCGGAGCGGUGAAUACGUUCCC